GGUGUUGCCAAGUUUGAUGAUGGGACAACACUAUUUUUGGUGCCUCCAUCAGAUUUCUUAACCAAGGUCUUGAAAGUUGCUGGACCUGAACGUCUUUAUGGUGUAGUUCUCAAGUUGCCGCAACAUGUCCCUAGUAAUGCAUCAGUACAGCCGCAGCUACGACAGCCCAGCCAUUUUCCUCAGUAUGUUGAUAGACAUCAAAUUCCUCCACCAGAGGCUGAUUAUAAUCAAAUUCCUCAGGAGGAAUGUAUGAUGCCACUGGAUUAUAACAGGGUUUUGCAUGAGGACUCAAAGCCUUUGUCAAAAUCAUUAUAUCCACCAACCACUCAGUCUAUUUCAGAGCAGUCAGUCCCUCAUGACUAUGCUUCUAAUAGCUCUGUAGCAGCUUCUCAAGCUGGAGUUUCAUUGACACCUGAGCUUAUCGCCACUCUUGCAUCUCUAUUGCCUGCAAAUGCACAGUCAACUGGUUUAGAAGGUGGUCAACCAGUAUCAGGCUCUGUUGUUGGGCCUCCAUUUUCCUCAGUUGCUACUAAUAAAGGAACUUCCUCACUUGAGUGGAAGCAUGAUAAUCAGGUUUCUGGAAACACAAAUCAUAUACAAUUUGGGAGCCAGUUCAAUUCUCAGGCACAAAUUCAGCCUCAGUUUCAGCCUCAUCCAUCUGUAUCCUGUGGACCUUAUAAUCCAGCAAAUAUGAUCCCUGGGAACACCCAAAUCCAAGAUUCUUCCAUCAACCUACCACAUCAGGGUGGUAUUCCUUCUAGGCCAUUGACUAGUGUUGCGAUGCCUUCCCAGAGUGGACAAGUUGGUUUGUCACCACAAGUUAGCCAGCAGUAUCAGCUUGAUGUUCUUCAUCAGAAGGGAUAUGUUGGAUUGGUGCAUGGAACAGAUGUUUCAGGUUCUUAUAGUCCAUCAAUUGUUCAGCAAUCUAAUAAUCCUGUUUCCUUCUCUAGUCAGGCUAAGGGUGGUAAUCAUUCCCAAGCGCUACCUGUGAUGCCUUUAUCUGCUGACAAAGUGAAUCAGCAGAUUCCCAAUCAGGUGCAGUCAUUCCAAACUGCUCUUCCUGGAGCUGGUCAGGGCACAUCAGAGGAUGAGGUUGACAAGAAUCAGCGAUACCAAUCAACAUUACAGUUUGCAGCAAGCCUGCUUCUCCAGAUACAGCAGCAAACAGGCAAUCCAGCAGUGCGAGGGUCUGGAAAUCAACAAUGAGAUUCCUUUGAUAUAGGUAGUUGGGCCUUAUUUGUCGUCUGAAGAUAGAGAGGUACAAUUGACUUCGGCUGUUAGCUUUUAUCUGUCCAUGGAGAAAAGAUAUUUGCCCAAAUUCUUGCGUUUGCGUUUGCGUAAGCGUUUUGGCGGUCAACUCGGUAGGAAUUCAAUGCACUGUACAAAUAGUUUCUUUUUCUUUUAUCUAAGUAAUCCUUUUUUUUCAUUUUCCAUAAAAGAAGAAGAAAUUCCAGGUCAGAUCAAGCAUAAAUAAAAUGAAAGAAAAGGAUUACU
RNAcentral lists this unclassified non-coding RNA (1494 nucleotides) under Hevea brasiliensis (rubber tree). The record is from RNAcentral. Lineage: Eukaryota; Viridiplantae; Streptophyta; Magnoliopsida; Malpighiales; Euphorbiaceae.